Molecule: ribosomal RNA, 425 nt
Filed under: Galathea cymo
Lineage: Eukaryota; Metazoa; Arthropoda; Malacostraca; Decapoda; Galatheidae
Description: partial 16S ribosomal RNA
Rfam family: Bacterial large subunit ribosomal RNA (bases 293-425)
Source: RNAcentral
UUUUAAUUGAAGGCUUGUAUGAACGGUCGGACAAAGGAUAAGCUGUCUCUGUUUUUGUUUUUGAACUUGUCUUUCAAGUGAAAAGACUUGAAUAAAUUUAAGGGACGAUAAGACCCUAUAAAUCUUUAUAUUAAUUUAUAUUUAUUUUAAUUUUUAAUGUAAACGUAAAAUAAAUUUAUUUGAUAUUAUAUUGGGGUGAUAAGAAUAAUAAAUAAACUGUUCUAAAUAAAACAAAGUUGUUUGGUUAAAUAAUAGAUCCUUUCUAGAGAUUAAGAGUUUAAGUUACUUUAGGGAUAACAGCGUUAUUUUUUUUGAGAGUUCUAAUCGAAAAAAAAGUUUGCGACCUCGAUGUUGAAUUAAAAUUUCUUCAUAGUGCAGGAGCUAUGAUAGAGAGUCUGUUCGACUUUUAAAAUUUUACGUGAUCU